AGGGGGAGGCAGACCACAAAAAAGGACGUCCCAGUUCGGAUUACAGCCUGNAACCCGGCUGUAUGAAGCUGGAAUCGCUAGUAAUCGCAGAUCAGAAUGCUGCGGUGAAUACGUUCCCGGGUCUUGUACACACCGCCCGUCACACCAUGGGAGCCAGGAAUGCCCGAAGCCAGUGGCCUAACCGCAAGGGAGGAGCUGUCGAAGGCAGGCCCGGUAACUGGGGUGAAGUCGUAACAAGGUAGC
RNAcentral lists this ribosomal RNA (243 nucleotides) under uncultured bacterium. RNAcentral's name for it is "partial 16S ribosomal RNA". It matches the Rfam family "Bacterial small subunit ribosomal RNA", at positions 1260 to 1500 of the family's 1533-position model. The record is from RNAcentral.